This 486-nucleotide ribosomal RNA is filed under the name uncultured bacterium. RNAcentral describes it as "partial 16S ribosomal RNA". It matches the Rfam family "Bacterial small subunit ribosomal RNA", at positions 30 to 507 of the family's 1533-position model. The record is from RNAcentral.
AUUGAACGCUGGCGGCAUGCCUUACACAUGCAAGUCGAACGGCAGCACGGGUGCUUGCACCUGGUGGCGAGUGGCGAACGGGUGAGUAAUACAUCGGAACAUGUCCUGUAGUGGGGGAUAGCCCGGCGAAAGCCGGAUUAAUACCGCAUACGACCUACGGAUGAAAGCGGGGGACCUUCGGGCCUCGCGCUUUAGGGUUGGCCGAUGGCUGAUUAGCUAGUUGGUGGGGUAAAGGCCUACCAAGGCGACGAUCAGUAGCUGGUCUGAGAGGACGACCAGCCACACUGGGACUGAGACACGGCCCAGACUCCUACGGGAGGCAGCAGUGGGGAAUUUUGGACAAUGGGCGAAAGCCUGAUCCAGCAAUGCCGCGUGUGUGAAGAAGGCCUUCGGGUUGUAAAGCACUUUUGUCCGGAAAGAAAUCCUUGGCUCUAAUACAGUCGGGGGAUGACGGUACCGGAAGAAUAAGCACCGGCUAACUACGUG